This 230-nucleotide ribosomal RNA is filed under the name uncultured microorganism. Its description in RNAcentral is "partial 16S ribosomal RNA". It matches the Rfam family "Bacterial small subunit ribosomal RNA", at positions 524 to 753 of the family's 1533-position model. The record is from RNAcentral.
UACGUAGGGAGCAAGCGUUGUCCGGAAUCAUUGGGCGUAAAGCGCGCGUAGGUGGCCACAUAAGUCCGUUGUGAAAGUCAAAGGCUCAACCUUUGAAAGCCGAUGGAUACUGUGUGGCUAGAGUACGGAAGAGGCGAGUGGAAUUCCUGGUGUAGCGGUGGAAUGCGCAGAUAUCAGGAGGAACACCAAUAGCGAAGGCAGCUCGCUGGGACGUUACUGACACUGAGGCG